GGCUACAGCCAUAUUACCCUGCAGCCUAACAGCUAAGCAGGGCUGAGCCUGGUCAGUACCUGGAUGGGAGACCACUAGGGAAAACAAGGUUGCUGUUGGAA
RNAcentral lists this ribosomal RNA (101 nucleotides) under Danio rerio (zebrafish). The record is from RNAcentral. Lineage: Eukaryota; Metazoa; Chordata; Actinopteri; Cypriniformes; Danionidae.